Notothenia coriiceps (black rockcod) is the source of this 1678-nucleotide long non-coding RNA. RefSeq lists it as uncharacterized. The record is from RefSeq and is a predicted model, not a curated record. Lineage: Eukaryota; Metazoa; Chordata; Actinopteri; Perciformes; Nototheniidae. The transcript has 2 exons.
CCACAGUCUCUUUGGUUUGGACCGCUAUACAGGACAGAUCAGAACACUUCGCUCAUUCACAGAGACGGACGAGGCUGAGCAUAAACUGCUCAUACUGGUGAAAGACAAUGGCAACGUUUCCCUGUCAGCAACAGCUACUGUGGUUGUUAAACUUGUGGAGCCCAGAGAGGCUUUUGCUGCUGCUGAUGUUAAAAGUGCAACAAAGGAUGAUGAGGAUAAUAAUGUGACUUUUUACCUGAUGAUAACUUUGGGCUCAGUCUCAACACUUUUUCUCAUCAGUAUCAUCGUGCUGAUUGCAAUGCAGUGCUCUAAGUCCACAGACUAUACUUCUAAAUAUCUACAAGAGACUAACUAUGAUGGGACACUGUGUCACAGCAUCCAGUACAGAUCUGGAGACAAGCGCUACAUGUUAGUUGGACCCAGAAUGAGUAUAGGAUCAACUAUAGUCCCGGGCAGCCAUGCCAACACACUGGUGCUCCCUGACAGGAGGGGAACAUCUACAGAGAGAUCAGAACAGAUGUAGGUCUGCACUUGUUUGGCAUCGGUGCUCAUACAGCCACAACAUCUGCUGCUGUGCUUAGGUCAUCAGCGCUUGCCUGGAGGAUUGAACAGAGUGAGCAGCCAUUGCAAGGCUGCAAGCAAGACAGACUGCUAUUAAGUGGAAAACAAGUGAGGACCCAGUUGUUUGAAAAUCCCCUUAAAGGUCACACUGAUGAGAACCUAAAAGCAUCCUAAGUCCUGAGAUCUAGAUUUAUGUAGGGGAUUGUGAUCUCUGAUUGAUAACAUCUAUUAAUGGGUGAGGGAAAUCCAGAUCAGCAGUUUAGACAUUGGAUGCAGUCUACGUAAGAGGAUUGUCUUCUUACAGCAGUAUCCUGCACCGCUCACUGUGGAGUAGAGGGGGUAUAAGGCCACAGUUGCCAUACAUAUGUCUGCUUAAAUACCGUAUGUUGUAUUUAUUACUGGCAAUGCAUGGAUGGGAUCAGAUGUUAGCUAUUAAAUGUAUCCAGUCUCUAACGGCAGGCCUCCUCAUCCCCCGGUGACCUUUUACCCCCAGACUAAUGCCCGUAUUAAGCAUCUUGUGUAAUUUCCUCACCUUGUUUUAAGCUGAAUUGUAUUUCUCUGAACGUUGCACGUUUCUGUUUAUAAAUCUUAAUAGUGUUUGUUUAGUUACAAGUCUUUUUAAAAAAAAACAAUAAUGUCUGAAAACUGCUGAACAACUUGAUAUUUAUUUCCAAGUAUGUUGAAUUAGUUAUAUACGUGUUCAUCAAGUGGCCUGGUUUUGUAGUAUGAUUAAUAAACCAUGAAAACAUUGUCAGCGUUGUAUUCACAAAAAUAUAAAUGUGUUGAUCUGUGGUCUUGAUUGUUCUAGUAUGUUUCAAUAGUUGUAUAUAGAGAGAUCUGGUCUGAGCAUAACUUGCCUAUGAGAGCUAACACUGAUAUGUAUUUCAUGUAAAGAGCACAUUGCUUCUGUAGGUUCAACAUAACUGAACAUGUGGGGGUUUCAGCAAUUGCAUGACCCUGUAGCAAGAUUGUACAACAAGGCAGUUUAAUAAAAGCAAUGAUAUGCAUUUCAAAUGAAAUGCAAAAGCAUAAAUAUGUGGUCAGUAUUGUAUUUAUAUAAGUCACAGUGUGUGUUCAAGUGAUAUUGAUACUGUUAUGUAAAGGGAAGCCUGUUUUU